UUAUCAGCCGUUGAGCGAAACUUUGCACCCCAGACCCAGACAGAAGCGUUCCUAAGGCGAUUACACGUAUACUUUAGCCAAUUCAGACCAGGCCGGACGAUGACCCAACAAAUCUAUGAACCCAAAGGCAGGUUUAGAUUCUUCUUAAAAUAGUGUGGAGGUUAUGCAAUACAGCUCAGAAAGAGACAGGCAGACAGAGAGCCGGAAAGGAAAACAAAGAGAGAGUGCGAGCAAGAGUGAGAGAAACAAAAUGGAGCCUUCUUUUUAGGCGGCUUUGCUGAGGGAGGUCAAGGCGGACGCACAUGCAAUUUUUGGGCAUUGAUUUUUUGACAGUUUUUGGUGGUACGAGGCUACGGAUCCGGCUACGGUUACGGCUAAGUGGGCUAUUCUGUGAGAAGGAACUUACCCCGUAAUCUGGACUACUCGUAGAUGAAACACAUUUGUUGGGGUUUAUUUAUAUUUAGGUGUUAAAUAUACAUAUAUCCACAAAACUUAAAUUAGCACUGAAAGAAAAUCAAUGAAAAGUUUACGUUUCGGCAUUCACAGUUGUGUUGUUUUUAGCCGGGUUGAGCGAGCCCGAGAACGGCCGAGAGUGUGAAGAGAGAAAGUCUUAGAACCAAAUG
Long non-coding RNA from Drosophila miranda, 623 nucleotides. RefSeq lists it as uncharacterized. NCBI's taxonomy places the organism in Eukaryota, Metazoa, Arthropoda, Insecta, Diptera, Drosophilidae. The transcript has 2 exons. The record is from RefSeq and is a predicted model, not a curated record.